CGGGAUGUAGCGCAGCUUGGUAGCGCGUCUGUUUUGGGAACAGAAGGUCACGUGUUCAAAUCACGUCAUCCCGA
This 74-nucleotide transfer RNA is filed under the name Reclinomonas americana. RNAcentral's name for it is "tRNA-Pro". It matches the Rfam family "tRNA". Rfam says of the family: Transfer RNA (tRNA) molecules are approximately 80 nucleotides in length. The record is from RNAcentral. Lineage: Eukaryota; Jakobea; Jakobida; Histionidae.